Non-coding RNA from Macaca mulatta (Rhesus monkey), 677 nucleotides. The record is from RefSeq and is a predicted model, not a curated record. NCBI's taxonomy places the organism in Eukaryota, Metazoa, Chordata, Mammalia, Primates, Cercopithecidae.
ACUCUUGGAGGAAAGUUACUAAGGUGCCUUUUUAAGUGCACCAGAACAGGUAAUUAAACCACAAAUGUGCCCUAAAUUUAGAUGCAGAGUUUCCCUGAAUUUCAAUUAUUAUAUGGAUUAAGACUGGCAGCUCCCACCUGGACGAUACCUUAAUCAAAAAGAGAACAAGUGUGAAGAAAACAAGGGCAAUAAUAACAUUACCAGCACUGUACUAAUCAAAUGCCCACAAAUAGUUCAGAACAACGGUGCUAAAAAGCCGCUUUAAUUCUGAAACAGAAAGUCCUGAGACACCGAGCGCCAUCUAGCAAGCAAAGUUAGAAUCAAAGUACGCCCGAGUCGAGCACAGAGGGAGAGAGGAUGGCGAGGUAAAGGGGGACUUCGAGAUCACUUGCUGUGAUUUAACCGUCUGCCCAGUCUCACCUGAGCCCAGAGCUACCUGCAAGUUUCUGCUCUUCGCCUCACCGAAUUUAACGACUGAGGGCAGGGAGGUACAUCUGCGAGACUCCCCACCCCAUGGCAGCCUUACCUCCGUGCAGAACUCCCAAUUAUCACACGUUCGUGAUGACUGAGCCCAAGGGAAUUAAGAUGGACUUUGAAGCAGCUUUUACGGUACACUUCAUCUACAUUUGGGUUUUCUUUAGUUCUCAUUAAAAGGGCCACUUUCUUCUUUUCAUUGA